UCCACUUUUUAGUGGCAGUCUCGUUAGAGAAAUUCAACUAACGAUAGGGGUUGCGCUCGUUAUGGGACUUAACCCAACACCUCACGGCACGAGCUGACGACAGCCAUGCAGCACCUGUGCAUCCGUCCCUUGCGGGUACGUCCAUUUCUGGACGGUGCAGAUGCAUGUCAAACCCUGGUAAGGUUCUUCGCGUUGCUUCGAAUUAAACCACACGCUCCGCUGCUUGUGCGGGUCCCCGUCAAUUCCUUUGAGUUUUAACCUUGCGGUCGUACUCCCCAGGCGGACCACUUAUCGCGUUGGCUGUGACACGGAAGGGGUCGAUCCCUCCCACGUCGAGUGGUCAUCGUUUACGGCGAGGACUA
RNAcentral lists this unclassified non-coding RNA (362 nucleotides) under uncultured Ktedonobacteraceae bacterium. RNAcentral's name for it is "contains 16S-23S intergenic spacer region". The record is from RNAcentral. Lineage: Bacteria; Bacillati; Chloroflexota; Ktedonobacteria; Ktedonobacterales; Ktedonobacteraceae.